UUUAAAAAAAUCAUGGGGCUGUUGGUUGGAUUCAAAGGGACACUUGCAGGUCAGUGGUUGCAUCAAAAUCACGCGGCUGAGCAUAGCGGAUUCCACAUGGUUUAGACUUUAGACAACGGAUCCAAGGUAUCUUCGACUGUCUGUUGUGCGAGAGGCGCGAAUGGUGAAGUGGCAGCUUGAGGCUGUGCGUCACGCAAAUGACUGGAGUUGCGCAAAGCAAACCUAGGCUGUGUUGGAGCAACACACAACGAUUGGGCAAGCAGGAUGAUCGUCGUGCAACGGUAUUGGGCAGAUGGGUGUGGCUAUGGGAUGGGUUAUUAAUCUAAAAUUUUGGAUUGUUAUUUUAAUUAUUUUUGAAAUUUUUAAUUUUUCUAGAUUAUUAAAUGAGGUGAGAGAGAUUAAAAAUAAUUUUUAAUUUAAAAUAAUUUAAUAAAAGUGUUAAAUACGACUCCUAUUUUCAGUUAAAUUUGAAAAAUAAUAUUUCAGUUAAACUCUGUUUACUUGUUUCAAUCAAACACUGAUUAGUUUAGAUUAUUUUAUUAUUAUUUGACCUAUGAAUUUAGCCUAUAAAUAGGUUCUUUUACAACAUUAAAAAUAUGACACCUAUUAGAUAUUAGAACUCAUAACACAUUUAGAAAAUUUUGUGUUUACGUUUUGAGAGUUCUUUGUUUUCGGGUUUUCGGGGUUUAAUCUUUAUCUCCAUCUUUUGUACUCUUCGUUCUUUUGUCAUUAUAGUAAAAUUAUUUUUACCCGUGGUUUUUUAUCCUCUUUAGAGGGGUUUUUCCACGUUAAAUUUGUGUGUUCAAUUUCUCGAUUUAUUUCGCUAUUUUUUCUUAUUCGUUGCUUAAUCGGGUCGAUUCUAACAGAAAGAAAACUAAUUUAAUAAUAUUUUUAAAAAGAAUUCUACCAAUUUUAUAAAUUAUAUAUAUUAGAUUAUAUUUAUAUAUGGAUUUAUACUUUUUAUCUUUAAAAUUUAUACAUAUUUGAUAAAAGAGUUUGUAUAUAUUUAAUAAAAGAACAUGUCUCGUGUUUUUUUUUUUUUGAAAUCAUAGUGUCCACCGUUGGUAAUAUGCGCCGUGUUUUCAUUACUUAAAAUUGUCAUUGCUUAAAGGGACUCAUAAUCACCUAGCUAUUUGUAAGUUUUUUUUUUGUUGGUUAUCUAACUAUUCAAAAUUUUUUUUGUUGCUAGUCAUUAAAUGAUUAAUAGAAAAAUGACAUGACAACUUCUAAAAUUGAUAUAAUAGUUGCAUCAGUGUAGUCUUAUUUUUUUAAAAAAAUAGCCUUCAUCAUUAUACUUUACCUUAUUUUAUGAAAAUAUAUUUCAAUAUACAAUGUGUAAAUCAGAAAUAAAAAUAAUUGUUUUUCUUUAAAUCUCUUUAUUGAUAAACUAGAUAAUCCCCAAAUACAUUACUUUCCUUAUACUUCAAAUAGUCAGACAACUUAAUAUCUUUCAAUGACAAUUAACUCAUUUUUUGUUAACUUGAGCUAAUCACCAUUGACUUAAAAUUGGAUUGAAUUAACAAAAUGUGUGCUUUUUAUUUUCAAAUAAUUGAAUUGAGUAUUUUUUUAUAAAAAAAUGUCAUUUCUUUUAUUUGUUCUUCAUUUUUCCAUGCAGUCAAACAUAGGGACGUCGCCAAAGGACGAAGUGGCAGCACUAUAAUCGCUCCUAUUUACAAACAAAAUCUAUCAUUUGAUAUCGACUCCAGCAAUCGAUAACACAAAAUCAUUAAUGGUUCUAUUCAAAAUCUAAGGUCCCCGGUCAAUCAACUUUCCACUCCUUGGACCCUAUUGAGCUUAUUGCAACUCUAGUUUCCAAAGUUGAUUUCAAAGACACUUUCAUUUUCUUUUUAAUUGUGGAUUAAUUCAACGAGUGAUGAGACUUUCUGUGUUCUUUGGAAAUGAUAAUAAUAAUGAUGAAAAUAACAAGAGCAACUCAAUUGAAUCGACAUCGAGCAAUUCAAGUGUGAAUCUUAUGAAAUUGGUGAAUAGUGAACCAGCAAAGAUCGAGUUAUCUCAGUUGUCAAUUCUCGAUCCAACAGUGAAGAAUUGGACUAUCAAGAGAAAAGAAUGGAAAAUGUGAAAAUUAUGAUACUAGGUUUUUGAGUGUUUCUAUUUUUUGUAUUUUUUCAAUAAAAUUAAAUUGAUAAAUUUAAUUUUUUGAGCUUUUUAGGUGAAAGGGUCACAAAGAUUAGCAAAACUAUACAAGGACCAAGUUACACAUGUGCAAAUGUUGAAGGUUAAAUUCUUUAGAAUCAAUACUAAAUUGAUGCAAUGCAUAAAUUUUAAGGGUUAAAAUUCUUAUUAUGCUAAUUUUAAAAGUUAUCAUGUUAUAUUUCUAUUAGUUAUAUAACGACUAGUGACAAAAAAG
Molecule: long non-coding RNA, 2368 nt
Filed under: Gossypium barbadense (sea-island cotton)
Lineage: Eukaryota; Viridiplantae; Streptophyta; Magnoliopsida; Malvales; Malvaceae
Description: long non-coding RNA (GBAR_LNC011902)
Source: RNAcentral